CCCGACAGCUAAGCAGAGACCACACUCAGAGACAGAUGUCGCCCGCCGUCCGCCUGGCUGGGCCACGUCCGGCCCAGUGAAAUGUCAAUGGUUUUUAACCUCAUUGAACAACAGCACAGCAUGUCCACUGUGUAUGAUAUUCAAGUAAAUGUCAGGCAGCCCUUUGGAAGCCGCUUCGUCUCCCCGGAGUGAUUCACGAGGGACAAAUCAACAGCGUCGGAGGGAGGCCACUGUACCCAGCACUUUAACACAAAAUACCAUGACAGCGGGAAUGGGGAGACAUGAGGUUUGCUUCAUGCUGUUACAGUGUUGGCGUCCACAGGACCAAAACUGAGUCUAGCCAGAAGAUAGUUGACCCACUGCUGUCUCGUCGCUCAUUGAUGUCGUCUCCACUUUUAAAGUGAACCGCUGCGUUGAACGACUUCACCCUGAAGAAACAGUCAAGAUCCUGUGGACUGCUGCAAUAUACGUAAAGGUUCAAUGCCAAAUCUCUAUUGGUUAUUGUCCUUGUUCCUGGACAAGCUGUUGUUUUCAUGGCACAGUUCACCAUUGCUUUGCAGAAGGAAUGUGCUCAUUCUACUGAGAUAAACCUGUGAUACUGCGCUGGUUUUGGUGUAUAGAGAGGAUCAGAGGAUGCUAGAUGAUGGUGACGCUGAUGACCUUGUUGAGGUCAGUCGAAUUACAGCCACACGACGGCACCUCUACCGUUUAUCCCUCACUAGGGAGAUGCCUCAUCAGCCCUGGGCGUUGGAAGGCACACUGCCAGUCAUGAGGAUCACUGUAUUGCUGAGUUCCUCCUCAUCCCUUUAUUUUAGUUUUCCCGGUUAGUCCUCAAAUGACGUUCCUCGAAGACCAGGCUGCCGGAGAAAACAGUGAGAAGUGCUUCUUUGUCAAUGAAUGCAUUUUGACGCAAAUCAACUUGUGAAAAGAGAUAUGGUUUAAGUAACUGCACAUAGAACUGUCGUUUUGACCACUAUGCUAACAAGAUGGAUACAAUAUAAUCAAAAGAAUUUAGUAUAAAUAUGAAAAAUCAAUGUUUAUUAAUGGACCACUGCUGUUUUGAGCACCUUUCCAAGAGGUUAGCCAAAAAUAUAGCAUCAGUAAAAACAAAAUAUUAAGGUAGCAGAAUAAAAUCCACACUGCUCCACACAUCGGGUCUUGAUGAACAAAAUAUAUUAAAGAUUAAAAUCUUUACUGUACAUUGUGUAAUUCAUUGAGAACAAAAUGAGAACAAAAUGUAACAACAGUCAAUUGAAGCCAAAAUCGCCAAAUGAUUGAGGGCUGGUUUCAAACCCACACCGAAAAUCAGAGUAAACAAUUGAAAUCACAGGCUGUUUCAACUCAUAAUGUGACUCAGUAGUGUGUAUGGCCCCCACGUGCCUGUAUGCACUCCGGACAACAGCUGGACAUGCUCCUGAUGAGACGGCGGAUGGUGUCCUGGGGGAUCUCUUCCCAGACCUGGUUCAGGGCAUCAAUGAGCUCCUGGACAGUCUGUUGUGCUACUUGGCAGCUAAGAAUGCACCGAUACAUAACGUCCCAGAGGUUCUCAACUGGAUUCAGGUCUGGGGAACAUGAGGGCCAGACAAUGGCAUCACUGCCUUCGUCAUCCAGGAACCUACACACUUUGACCACUUGAGGCCGGGCAUUGUCCUACACCAGGAGGAACCCAGAGUACCAUUGCACCAGCGUAAGGUCUGAGGAUUUCAUCCCGGUACCUAAGAGCAGUCAGGGUUGGCUAGCAUGUGGAGGUCUGUGCGACCCUCCAAGUAUAUGCCUCCCCAGACCAUCACUGACCCACCGCCAAACCGGUCAUGCUGGAUGAUGUUGCAGGCAGCAUAACGUUCGCCACAGCGUCUCCGGACUCUUUCACGUCUGUCAUAUGUGCUCAGUGGGAACUUGCUGUCAUCUGUAAAGAGAACAAGCCACCAAUGGUGGACCUGCCAAUUCUGGCGUUCUCUUCAUGAAUGCCAAUCAAGCUGUACGGUGCUGGACUGUGAGCACACAUCCCACUAGAGGACGUCGGGCCCUCAGGCCACCCUCAUGGAAUAUGUUUUUGACAGUUUGGUCAGAAUCAUGCACACCAGUAGCCUGCUGGAGGUCAUUUUGUAGGGCUCUGGCAGUGCUCCUCCUAUUCCUCCUUGCACAAAGGAGCAGAUACCAGUCCAACUGCUGGUUUGAUGCCCUUCUACAGCCCUGUCCAGCUCUCCUUUUGUAACAGCCCAUCUCCUGGUAUCUCCUCCAUGCUCUUGAGAUUUUACUGGGAGACACAGCAAACCUUCUUGCGAUGACAUGUAUGGAUGUACCGUCCUGGAUGAGCUUGACUACCUGUGCAAACCGAACGGGCUGCAGCUACCUCCUCGUGCUACCAGUAGUGACAAGGACACAAGCAAAACUAGAGAAGAAUCAGUCAGGAAGGAUAAGGAGAGAGCAAUAGUCUGUGGCCACCACCUGCACAACCAUUCCCCUUUUUGGGGUUUGUCUUGCUGUUGCCUCUCCAGUGCACCUGUUGUCACUUUCAUUUGCACUGAAACAGGUGACAUUGUUUCACAAUUGCUAAUGCGUCCAUACUAGUCAGAUUGAUAUCCCAGACGUUUCAUUGACUUGGUGUUAUUCUGUGAUGAUUAUGUGUUCCCUUAAUUUUUAAAUGCUAAGUAGAGCAGUGUAAAUGCAAAGUAGCAGCUGAGGCUCAGCUGUCUGCUCCUCUCAUGUCUGUUGCUAUAUUGGCGGUUAUGAAUACUCAGACACAGGUGCAGUUGUGACAACCUUUUAGCAAGUUUUCAAACUGCUACAGCGACCUGUAUUGUAAACAGACCAAUUCAUACUUUCCCACUAACAGUUUCUAUGGUUUUAAAAUGUUUUCUUGUCACGCCGGCCUCCCCUUGCCCACUCCUGUGUCUUGUUGUGUUGAUUUGCCAUUGCUUUAAGUUGCCCUGUUUUCUGUUCUCCCCUCGUGGGUUAUUGUGCACAUUUCAUUUUCCCAUUUCUUUAUCUGUAAUUAUGAAUAAAGCAAAUUAUACAAUCG
Long non-coding RNA from Esox lucius (northern pike), 3022 nucleotides. The record is from Ensembl. NCBI's taxonomy places the organism in Eukaryota, Metazoa, Chordata, Actinopteri, Esociformes, Esocidae.